RNAcentral lists this ribosomal RNA (693 nucleotides) under Nasutopedia sp. DZUB089533. RNAcentral's name for it is "partial 28S ribosomal RNA". It matches the Rfam family "Eukaryotic large subunit ribosomal RNA", at positions 397 to 813 of the family's 3401-position model. The record is from RNAcentral. Lineage: Eukaryota; Metazoa; Arthropoda; Insecta; Hymenoptera; Apidae.
ACGUGAAACCGUUCAGGGGUAAACCUGAGAAACCCAAAAGAUCGAAUGGGGAGAUUCAUCGUCAACGGUGCCGGCUCCCGUUGGUGCGCGAUGCUCCGAAUGGACCCUUCUGGGCUCCAUUGGCGAGGGCACGCCACCAUCGGCUCGAACGUUCCGGUGCCGUAGUCGUGCACUUCUCCUCUAGUAGAACGUCGCGACCCGUUGUGUGUCGGCCUACGGCCCGAGCGGGUGCCUGUCACGUCGCGUUUCGCGCACGCGGCAGACCCUCGGACGCCUGGCCGGCUGCACGACGGUACUCCCACGGUAUCGGGCCGCAACCAAUCCGAUUCUCGAAUCGUAUGUGCGUCUAGCCCGCCGCAAGCUCGAUCAGUUCUUACCCGGUGGUCGGACCUAGUGCCGUCCCCGGGCCUGAUCAGCUGUUAGCAGGCGGUGUCCUCGGACUGGCCAAGCUUCGAAUUACCGGUCGGCGACGCUACUGCCUUGGGUACUCUCAGGACCCGUCUUGAAACACGGACCAAGGAGUCUAACAUGUGCGCGAGUCAUUGGGAUGCACAAACCUAAAGGCGAAAUGAAAGUGAAGGUCGUCCUUUGCGUCGACCGAGGGAGGAUGGGCCGCGUUACGAGGCGGCCCCGCACUCCCGGGGCGUCUCGUUCUCAUUGCGAGAAGAGGCGCACCCAGAGCGUAACGUUGGG